CCCUUAGAUGUUCUGGGCCGCACGCGCGCUACACUGAUGCAUUCAACGAGCACCCGCUGGGCCGAGAGGUCCGGCUAAUCUUUGAACGUGCAUCGUGCUGGGGAUAGAUGAUUGCAAUUAUUCAUCUUCAACGAGGAAUUCCUAGUAAACGCAAGUCAUCAGCUUGCAUUGAUUACGUCCCUGCCCUUUGUACACACCGCCCGUCGCACCUACCGAUUGAAUGGUCCGGUGAAAUUCUCGGACGCGGACUUGCGAUGUUAAUUCGGAGCUUGACUGUGAAAGUUAAUUAAACCUUAACAUUUAGAGGAAGGUGAAGUCGUAACA
This 324-nucleotide ribosomal RNA is filed under the name uncultured eukaryote. RNAcentral describes it as "partial 18S ribosomal RNA". It matches the Rfam family "Eukaryotic small subunit ribosomal RNA", at positions 1470 to 1796 of the family's 1831-position model. The record is from RNAcentral.